Molecule: long non-coding RNA, 264 nt
Filed under: Capsella rubella
Lineage: Eukaryota; Viridiplantae; Streptophyta; Magnoliopsida; Brassicales; Brassicaceae
Description: long non-coding RNA (CRUB_LNC003081)
Source: RNAcentral
UACCAUCACUAUCCAGGCAAUUUAAUUUGUUAGAGAAAGUUCCAAUCUUCUUUAAGAUAUAUCACUGAGGGUUAUGUCAUUUUCUAGGUUUCCUAGAACAGUUUUGUUCCAAAUGUUUCAAGAAAUAACAUAACGUGAAAAAUAAAAUAAAAAACAAAAAUUUAAAAUAAUUAACAAAUCGCCCUCUAAAUGCGGUGGUGGAGGGGGGAGAAUGUGGGGUUGAGAGAAGCCAUAAAUGUGAUGACACAUCGAUUUCAUGAUAAC